GCUGAUGUGGGUCAAUGGUAGACUACUGUUUUUAAGCACAUUUUGUCAGGGAAGGCGGUUCGAUUCCGUCCAUCAGCA
RNAcentral lists this transfer RNA (78 nucleotides) under Caudoviricetes sp. RNAcentral describes it as "tRNA-Leu". It matches the Rfam family "tRNA". Rfam says of the family: Transfer RNA (tRNA) molecules are approximately 80 nucleotides in length. Their secondary structure includes four short double-helical elements and three loops (D, anti-codon, and T loops). The record is from RNAcentral. Lineage: Duplodnaviria; Heunggongvirae; Uroviricota; Caudoviricetes.